This is a small nucleolar RNA of Clarias gariepinus (North African catfish), 134 nucleotides long. RefSeq annotates it as small nucleolar RNA SNORA13. The record is from RefSeq and is a predicted model, not a curated record. NCBI's taxonomy places the organism in Eukaryota, Metazoa, Chordata, Actinopteri, Siluriformes, Clariidae. The transcript has a single exon.
CGCCUUAGUGUUGCCCGUCCGUUCCUCUCCGUGAUGGACGCGGUGUCAGAAAAGGCGCACAGCAAACCUUAUCGGGAGAGUAAAAGCAGGACGUCCCCCUGACUCCUCAUGCUUCUGUCCCGAUACGAACACAU